Long non-coding RNA from Vitis vinifera (wine grape), 309 nucleotides. RefSeq lists it as uncharacterized. Lineage: Eukaryota; Viridiplantae; Streptophyta; Magnoliopsida; Vitales; Vitaceae. The record is from RefSeq and is a predicted model, not a curated record. The transcript has 2 exons.
CCAAGAUCAGAUCCAUUGGCCUCAGCCAUCAAGAGGAAGCCUUGGUGAUAGCGAAGAUCACCCAGCCAAGAAAUUAAAGAUUCUCUAGUUUCCUAAAGAUCAAAGCUUUAUUUAAACCCUAGCAAGGAUGCUGAUGGAAACAUGACUAACUAUUGGUCGAAUUGAAAGUGGUGGCAAAGAUGCAAUAUUGAACCAGAAUGAGAAUACCAUAAAGGACUCUUUGUUUGGAUUGUGGAAUUUAAUUUGUAUGUUUUUAAACAUGGAUAAUUUGAAUUGUUGAUUUUAAUUUGUAUGUUUUUAAGCAUGGAU